AACGGUCUAUACCUGCGGUACCUGCGGAAGGAUCAUUACCGAGUUUUCAACUCCCAAACCCCAUGUGAACUUAUACCAUUUACACCGUUGCUUCGGCGGGUUCUCGCCCCGGGCUUUACAACCCCGGAACCAGGCGGCCCGCCGGGGGACCCAAACUCUAGAUUUUAUUUUAGCAUGUCUGAGUGGAAUCAUUACAAAAUGAAUCAAAACUUUUAGCAAUGGAUCUCUAGAUCGGAAGAG
This 240-nucleotide unclassified non-coding RNA is filed under the name soil metagenome. RNAcentral's name for it is "partial contains 5.8S ribosomal RNA, internal transcribed spacer 2, and large subunit ribosomal RNA". The record is from RNAcentral.